CAACAAACUCCAUUAAUGAUUAUUAAUUAUCCAUUAACCCUACCGUGCUAAUGAAAACCCGUAUUGUAAAGAUGAAAGCUGACCAGUGUGCAGUCUUUUCUGUCAUGUUCUGCGUUUUGUACUAUGUGUGUGAUCUGUCUUCAGUAUGCAAAUUCAAAAGACCACUAAGAGAGAUACAAGUGGUGGAUUUCAGAGAACUUCCUGAACCAUUGAAAAGCAGGAGAAAGUACGCUUCUGUAAUCCUGUCACAUCUGUUCUAAAGGAUUCCAGGGACUCUGACCUGCGACUCAAGAAGAGAGAGAGGAAUGUAAGAGAAGACAGUCACUAUGUUGAAGAGAAGUUUAGAGGACUGCCCAGAGUAAAGAAAUCCCCUUCCAAGUGUUUCUCCUGCAGCCUUGGCAAAAAUAUACACAUCAGGGAUACAGACUUCUUCAAUGACUUGUUUACUUGGAAGAAUGUUUAAGCCAAGCACAGUGGUACACACCUCUAAUCCCAGCACUUGGGAAGCUGAGACAGUAGGAUCACUGCGAUUUUGAGGCCAGCCUGGGCUACAUAGUGAUUUCAAGGCCAGCCUGUACUACAUUGUGAAACCUGUUUUAAAAAAGAAUGUUUAGUUUCUAAGUGUUUGGAAAUUUUCCUGUUAUCUUUCUAUUAUUGAUUUGUAGUUUAAUUCCAGUGUGGUCAGAGAACAUAUUCCAUAUGAUUUCAAUUUGUUCAGGUUUGUUUUAUGGUCUAUCAUUUUUCUUGAUAUCCAUCUAUCUUGGUGUAUCAAAUUCCAUGGGCACUUGAAAAGAAUAAGUAGUGUGUUGUCAGAGUGUUUAUAAAUGUUGAUUAGACCUUGUUGUUUGACAGCAUUGUUAGUUCUUCAUAUCUUUGCUGAUUUCCUACCUCCUUGUUGUAAACACUAUUGAGAGAAAAGUAUAGUGUUCUCAAAUUUGAUUGUGGACUUGCCUAUAUCUCGUUCCAAUUCUUUUUUUCUCCCCAUCAUAUAUGUUGCAGCUCUUUUUUGG
This 1010-nucleotide long non-coding RNA is filed under the name Heterocephalus glaber (naked mole-rat). RNAcentral's name for it is "lncRNA (ENSHGLG00000045958.1)". Lineage: Eukaryota; Metazoa; Chordata; Mammalia; Rodentia; Bathyergidae. The record is from RNAcentral.